This 242-nucleotide ribosomal RNA is filed under the name uncultured bacterium. Its description in RNAcentral is "partial 16S ribosomal RNA". It matches the Rfam family "Bacterial small subunit ribosomal RNA", at positions 524 to 763 of the family's 1533-position model. The record is from RNAcentral.
UACGAAGGGGGCUAGCGUUGUUCGGAAUUACUGGGCGUAAAGGGCGCGUAGGCGGUGUGUCAAGUCAGGCGUGAAAGCCCCGGGCUCAACCUGGGAACCGCGCUUGAGACUGGCACGCUAGAGUUCGGGAGAGGAUGGUGGAAUUCCCAGUGUAGAGGUGAAAUUCGUAGAUAUUGGGAAGAACACCGAUGGCGAAGGCAGCCAUCUGGACCGACACUGACGCUGAGGCGGCGAAAAGCGUG